CUAAGAAUAUUCCGCAAUGGACGAAAGUCUGACGGAGCGACGCCGCGUGGAUGAUGAAGGCCGAAAGGUUGUAAAGUUCUUUUACUGGGGAAGAAUAAGCCUGGGAGGGAAUGCCCGGGUGAUGACAUGAACCGGUGAAUAAGCCCCGGCCAACUACGUGCCAGCAGCCGCGGUAACACGUAGGGGGCGAGCGUUGUUCGGAAUUACUGGGCGUAAAGGGCAUGUAGGCGGUCUGGUAAGCCUGGCGUGAAAGUCUGCAGCUUAACUGCAGGAAUGCGCUGGGAACUGCUGGGCUUGAGUGACGGAGAGGGAGCUGGAAUUCCUGGUGUAGGGGUGAAAUCUGUAGAUAUCAGGAAGAACACCGAUGGCGAAGGCAAGCUCCUGGCCGAUGACUGACGCUGAGGUGCGAAAGUGUGGGGAUCAAACAGGAUUAGAUACCCUGGUAGUCACACAGUAAACGAUGUGCACUAGGUGCUGGGGCGGUAGCUUCAGUGCCGGAGCGAACGUGGUAAGUGCACCGCCUGGGGAGUAUGCUC
This 536-nucleotide ribosomal RNA is filed under the name uncultured bacterium. Its description in RNAcentral is "partial 16S ribosomal RNA". It matches the Rfam family "Bacterial small subunit ribosomal RNA", at positions 355 to 887 of the family's 1533-position model. The record is from RNAcentral.